UAGAAGUGCCUAAACAUGUCC
RNAcentral lists this non-coding RNA (21 nucleotides) under Arabidopsis thaliana (thale cress). The record is from RNAcentral. Lineage: Eukaryota; Viridiplantae; Streptophyta; Magnoliopsida; Brassicales; Brassicaceae.